AUUGAACGCUGGCGGCAUGCCUUACACAUGCAAGUCGAACGGUAACAGGUCUUCGGAUGCUGACGAGUGGCGAACGGGUGAGUAAUACAUCGGAACGUGCCCAGACGCGGGGGAUAACGAGGCGAAAGCUUUGCUAAUACCGCAUACGAUCUAAGGAUGAAAGCAGGGGACCGCAAGGCCUUGCGCGUUUGGAGCGGCCGAUGGCAGAUUAGGUAGUUGGUGGGAUAAAAGCUUACCAAGCCGACGAUCUGUAGCUGGUCUGAGAGGACGACCAGCCACACUGGGACUGAGACACGGCCCAGACUCCUACGGGAGGCAGCAGUGGGGAAUUUUGGACAAUGGGCGAAAGCCUGAUCCAGCAAUGCCGCGUGCAGGAUGAAGGCCUUCGGGUUGUAAACUGCUUUUGUACGGAACGAAAAGGCUCUGGCUAAUACCUGGGGCACAUGACGGUACCGUAAGAAUAAGCACCGGCUAACUACGUG
This 482-nucleotide ribosomal RNA is filed under the name uncultured bacterium. RNAcentral describes it as "partial 16S ribosomal RNA". It matches the Rfam family "Bacterial small subunit ribosomal RNA", at positions 30 to 507 of the family's 1533-position model. The record is from RNAcentral.